This is a non-coding RNA of Kogia breviceps (pygmy sperm whale), 401 nucleotides long. NCBI's taxonomy places the organism in Eukaryota, Metazoa, Chordata, Mammalia, Artiodactyla, Physeteridae. The record is from RefSeq and is a predicted model, not a curated record.
CAACUCCGAAGUGACGGCCCCCGGCUCUCUCUCCUCAGUCGGCUGCUGCGGCCGGGACGCCCCCGCUCCCAUCGAGAGGGGAAGGAAAGUGCUACCCCUGAACACUACCUCCUCUGCAACACACACACAGUCUUCUGCCAUUCCCAGGCCCUGGUGGUUUGUUAAGGAACAGCAUUCCAUCCUGUAAGGGGGCACGGGUUCGAGCCCUGGUCUGGGAAGAUCCCACAUGCCGUGGAGCAACUAAGCCCGUGUGCCACAACUGAGGCUUCGCUCCAGAGCCCGCAAGCCACAACUACUGAGCCCACGUGCCACAACUACUGAAGGCCACGCGCCUAGAGCCCGUGCUCCCCAACAAGAGAAGCCACCGCAAUGAGAAGCCCGCGCACCGCAACGAAGACCCA